RNAcentral lists this ribosomal RNA (300 nucleotides) under uncultured Luteimonas sp. RNAcentral describes it as "bacterial SSU rRNA". It matches the Rfam family "Bacterial small subunit ribosomal RNA", at positions 496 to 795 of the family's 1533-position model. The record is from RNAcentral. Lineage: Bacteria; Pseudomonadati; Pseudomonadota; Gammaproteobacteria; Lysobacterales; Lysobacteraceae.
GCUAACUUCGUGCCAGCAGCCGCGGUAAUACGAAGGGUGCAAGCGUUAAUCGGAAUUACUGGGCGUAAAGCGUGCGUAGGUGGUUGUUCAAGUCUGUCGUGAAAGCCCUGGGCUCAACCUGGGAAUGGCGAUGGAAACUGGGCGACUGGAGUGCGGUAGAGGAUGGCGGAAUUCCCGGUGUAGCGGUGAAAUGCGUAGAGAUCGGGAGGAACAUCCGUGGCGAAGGCGGCCAUCUGGACCAGCACUGACACUGAGGCACGAAAGCGUGGGGAGCAAACAGGAUUAGAUACCCGUGUAGUC